This 754-nucleotide long non-coding RNA is filed under the name Heterocephalus glaber (naked mole-rat). Its description in RNAcentral is "lncRNA (ENSHGLG00100035083.1)". The record is from RNAcentral. Lineage: Eukaryota; Metazoa; Chordata; Mammalia; Rodentia; Bathyergidae.
GUAAGCUGCAACUCCUCCUGGAAGCGAAAGCUCCGGCGGGAUUUCCUCUCCACGGAGGCCUCCUCUGACUCAGGGAAGAACUUCCACUGGAUUCUUACUGACCACGCCGAUGCCCAGUGCUGGGAGGAACAAGAAAAUUUAGCCAGGACCAUUAUCUGCCCACAUUGCUCCUUCGGCAGUGGAAGAUGAACAAACUGAGAUCAAGGCGGAAAAAAACUUAACCACUGGUCGCAGUCCUACCCACAGCCCUCCAGGAUUAGCACCAAGACUUGACUUCACUAUUUCAGGGCCAGGAGAAGAAAGAGCACAUUACAGCUGGUGACAGAGCUGAGGAUUCAGCAAAUCCUGGAAGCCUUUGCCUGUUCUUCCUUCUUUCCACUGGGAGUCACAUGUGUAAGCAGCAACACAAGGAAGAAGAAAGACAGUGGACCCAAACAAAUCAGGAAUCAAGAUCCCAAGCUGGAAGGAAUACACUCAGAUGGCAACAGUGGUGGCCUGGAGGAGCAGGAACACUGCUAUCAUUCCAUACCUCAACCUCCUAUCUCCUGGAGCUCUUCGGAAGUGGCUGCUGUGGAUGGCCCAGAUGUAGCCCUGUGGCUGGAGCCCGGUCUUGGCACAAUUUCCUGGACCACAAAUGGCUUUCCUGAGAGCAAGUUCUUCAGCUUGCACUCAGGGAUGAGUAGCUGGAGACAUUUCCCCCUGAUCAUAAGGUUCCUGAAUGGUAUUUAUACUUUAUACCACAAAAUUUUGUUAA